RNAcentral lists this ribosomal RNA (482 nucleotides) under uncultured bacterium. RNAcentral describes it as "partial 16S ribosomal RNA". It matches the Rfam family "Bacterial small subunit ribosomal RNA", at positions 30 to 507 of the family's 1533-position model. The record is from RNAcentral.
AUUGAACGCUGGCGGCAUGCCUUACACAUGCAAGUCGAACGGUAACGGGCCUUCGGGUGCCGACGAGUGGCGAACGGGUGAGUAAUACAUCGGAACGUGCCCGAUCGUGGGGGAUAACGAGGCGAAAGCUUUGCUAAUACCGCAUACGAUCUACGGAUGAAAGCAGGGGACCGCAAGGCCUUGCGCGGACGGAGCGGCCGAUGGCAGAUUAGGUAGUUGGUGGGAUAAAAGCUUACCAAGCCGACGAUCUGUAGCUGGUCUGAGAGGAUGAUCAGCCACACUGGGACUGAGACACGGCCCAGACUCCUACGGGAGGCAGCAGUGGGGAAUCUUGGACAAUGGGCGCAAGCCUGAUCCAGCCAUGCCGCGUGCAGGAUGAAGGCCUUCGGGUUGUAAACUGCUUUUGUACGGAACGAAAAGCCUUCUUUUAAUACAGGAGGGUCAUGACGGUACCGUAAGAAUAAGCACCGGCUAACUACGUG